GAUGAAGAACGCAGCGAAAUGCGAUAAGUAAUGUGAAUUGCAGAAUUCAGUGAAUCAUCGAAUCUUUGAACGCCCAUUGCGACCCUUGGUAUUCCGAGGGGCAUGCCUGUUCGAGCGUCAUUAUAACCCCUCAAGCUCAGCUUGGUAUUGGGGCCUGCCGCACGGGCAGCCCUUAAAAUCAGUGGCGGUGCCAUCUGGCUCUAAGCGUAGUAAUUCUUCUCGCUAUAGAGUCCCGGUGGAUGCUUGCCAUUAACCCCCAAUUUUCUAUGGUUGACCUCGGAUCAGGUAGGGAUACCCGCUGAACUUAAGCAUAUCAAUAAGCGGAGGA
RNAcentral lists this unclassified non-coding RNA (328 nucleotides) under soil metagenome. Its description in RNAcentral is "partial contains 5.8S ribosomal RNA, internal transcribed spacer 2, and large subunit ribosomal RNA". The stretch from base 1 to 120 matches the Rfam family "5.8S ribosomal RNA", at positions 35 to 154 of the family's 154-position model. The record is from RNAcentral.